UGGUUAGCAGGUCAGGGUUUCUUUGAAAGGCAAUGAAAAUGUUCUAAAAUCAACUGUGGUGAUGGAUGAAAACUCUGUGAAUAUACGGAAAGCAAAUAACUAUAUACUUUACACAAGUGAAUUGUAUAGUACGUGAAUUAUAUCUCAAUAAGGCCCUUAAAAAUACUAAACAAAUCCAGAGAAGUUAUAUAAAACUGCUCAAGUCGCAAAACUGUUAUGGUAGUACAACUGAACCUGGUGGUGUUUUUUUUUUUUAAUUCCCAAAUCCCAGGACUUUGAUUCUGGUCAUCUGACUCAUCUAUGGAUAUGUCCACCACAGCAUGAGGAGAGAGGAGGAUGUUUGUGUGCAUGUGCUGCCCUUGUGAAAGGCUGGGUGCUAACGAUGCAGAGAGCAGAGCGGACUUUUUGGACACCUCUGUCGAUCCACUAUGGAGUCACCAACAGCCAUGACAGUUAUAUCAAGUACUAUAUCAAGACUGAGGUACGAGGACGUAAUGGGGCUUAUUCUCCUAAUAAACCUGGCAUUGUGGAAGGACUCCUUCUGGGGAUGUUCCCUUGCUCCAGUGUUCUCAUAUUUUCAAUACUAGGAAAGGAUGUGAACACAGCUGUCCGGUCCUCUUGAAAUAGCUCACACACUGCCAUCAUGAUGAGGUUUGGGGGUUACAGUCUGUGACCUUAGAAAAGGGUCCUUGUUUAACAGUGGC
This is a long non-coding RNA of Myotis davidii, 704 nucleotides long. RefSeq lists it as uncharacterized. The record is from RefSeq and is a predicted model, not a curated record. The transcript has 3 exons. Lineage: Eukaryota; Metazoa; Chordata; Mammalia; Chiroptera; Vespertilionidae.